AUGCACCCUCCCCAUUCCACAGUCACUUUCCAGGUCCAGGUGUCCAAAGCAUUAUCUUUAUCUUGUAAUGGCAAAGUACAUUUAAAUACUGGUCUUUACUUUUUCAGAAAGAAGACAGAAAUAGCUGACUCCCUCAUACUCUUCUGUAGUACAAAGGAUUUGGGGAAUGGGAACAGCCCUUUGGGAGGAAGGCAGCAGAGAAGUUUCAAAGAGAAGAGAAAUUACGGAAGUCCUGGGACACUCAGCCUCGUGAAAAGCUCAAGAGAUUUACUCAUGGCCCAAGUGCACCCGAAAGAAUUGCUUUCAAGGGACACCACAGCUGAAGACUGA
RNAcentral lists this long non-coding RNA (330 nucleotides) under Canis lupus dingo (dingo). RNAcentral's name for it is "lncRNA (ENSCAFG00020025249.1)". Lineage: Eukaryota; Metazoa; Chordata; Mammalia; Carnivora; Canidae. The record is from RNAcentral.